GUCUCUGUGGCACAAUUGGUCAGCGCAUUCCGGCUGUUAACUGAAAGGUUGGUGGUUCAAGCCCACCCAGGGACG
RNAcentral lists this transfer RNA (75 nucleotides) under Gasterosteus aculeatus (three-spined stickleback). It matches the Rfam family "tRNA". From Rfam's summary of the family: Transfer RNA (tRNA) molecules are approximately 80 nucleotides in length. Lineage: Eukaryota; Metazoa; Chordata; Actinopteri; Perciformes; Gasterosteidae. The record is from Rfam by way of RNAcentral.